UCUUGGUCAUUUAGAGGAAGUAAAAGUCGUAACAAGGUCUCCGUUGGUGAACCAGCGGAGGGAUCAUUGUUGGAACGCGCUUCGGCGCACCUCCAGACAACCCUUUGUGAACUUAUACCUAUACUGUUGCCUCGGCGUCAGGCUGGCUCCCCUCGGGGGGUCCCUCACCAUCUCGGUGAGGAGCAGGCCCGCCGGCGGCCAAGUUAACUCUUGUUUUUACACUGAAACUCUGAGAAUAAAACAAAAAUGAAUCAAAACUUUCAACAACGGAUCUCUUGGUUCUGGCAUCGAUGAAGAACGCAGCGAAAUGCGAUAAGUAAUGUGAAUUGCAGAAUUCAGUGAAUCAUCGAAUCUUUGAACGCACAUUGCGCCCUCUGGUAUUCCGGAGGGCAUGCCUGUUCGAGCGUCAUUUCAACCCUCAAGCCUGGCUUGGUGAUGGGACACUGCCUUUGAGAAAAGGCAGGUCCUGAAAUUCAGUGGCGAGCUCGCCAGGACCCCGAGCGCAGUAGUUAAACCCUCGCUUUGGAAGGUCUUGGUGCGGCCCUGCCGUU
RNAcentral lists this ribosomal RNA (551 nucleotides) under Diaporthe rudis. Its description in RNAcentral is "eukaryotic LSU rRNA". The stretch from base 256 to 409 matches the Rfam family "5.8S ribosomal RNA". Lineage: Eukaryota; Fungi; Ascomycota; Sordariomycetes; Diaporthales; Diaporthaceae. The record is from RNAcentral.